Molecule: ribosomal RNA, 1579 nt
Filed under: Limosilactobacillus fermentum
Lineage: Bacteria; Bacillati; Bacillota; Bacilli; Lactobacillales; Lactobacillaceae
Description: bacterial SSU rRNA
Rfam family: Bacterial small subunit ribosomal RNA
Source: RNAcentral
UUAUAUGAGAGUUUGAUCCUGGCUCAGGAUGAACGCCGGCGGUGUGCCUAAUACAUGCAAGUCGAACGCGUUGGCCCAAUUGAUUGAUGGUGCUUGCACCUGAUUGAUUUUGGUCGCCAACGAGUGGCGGACGGGUGAGUAACACGUAGGUAACCUGCCCAGAAGCGGGGGACAACAUUUGGAAACAGAUGCUAAUACCGCAUAACAGCGUUGUUCGCAUGAACAACGCUUAAAAGAUGGCUUCUCGCUAUCACUUCUGGAUGGACCUGCGGUGCAUUAGCUUGUUGGUGGGGUAACGGCCUACCAAGGCGAUGAUGCAUAGCCGAGUUGAGAGACUGAUCGGCCACAAUGGGACUGAGACACGGCCCAUACUCCUACGGGAGGCAGCAGUAGGGAAUCUUCCACAAUGGGCGCAAGCCUGAUGGAGCAACACCGCGUGAGUGAAGAAGGGUUUCGGCUCGUAAAGCUCUGUUGUUAAAGAAGAACACGUAUGAGAGUAACUGUUCAUACGUUGACGGUAUUUAACCAGAAAGUCACGGCUAACUACGUGCCAGCAGCCGCGGUAAUACGUAGGUGGCAAGCGUUAUCCGGAUUUAUUGGGCGUAAAGAGAGUGCAGGCGGUUUUCUAAGUCUGAUGUGAAAGCCUUCGGCUUAACCGGAGAAGUGCAUCGGAAACUGGAUAACUUGAGUGCAGAAGAGGGUAGUGGAACUCCAUGUGUAGCGGUGGAAUGCGUAGAUAUAUGGAAGAACACCAGUGGCGAAGGCGGCUACCUGGUCUGCAACUGACGCUGAGACUCGAAAGCAUGGGUAGCGAACAGGAUUAGAUACCCUGGUAGUCCAUGCCGUAAACGAUGAGUGCUAGGUGUUGGAGGGUUUCCGCCCUUCAGUGCCGGAGCUAACGCAUUAAGCACUCCGCCUGGGAGUACGUACGACCGCAAGGUUGAAACUCAAAGGAAUUGACGGGGGCCCGCACAAGCGGUGGAGCAUGUGGUUUAAUUCGAAGCUACGCGAAGAACCUUACCAGGUCUUGACAUCUUGCGCCAACCCUAGAGAUAGGGCGUUUCCUUCGGGAACGCAAUGACAGGUGGUGCAUGGUCGUCGUCAGCUCGUGUCGUGAGAUGUUGGGUUAAGUCCCGCAACGAGCGCAACCCUUGUUACUAGUUGCCAGCAUUAAGUUGGGCACUCUAGUGAGACUGCCGGUGACAAACCGGAGGAAGGUGGGGACGACGUCAGAUCAUCAUGCCCCUUAUGACCUGGGCUACACACGUGCUACAAUGGACGGUACAACGAGUCGCGAACUCGCGAGGGCAAGCAAAUCUCUUAAAACCGUUCUCAGUUCGGACUGCAGGCUGCAACUCGCCUGCACGAAGUCGGAAUCGCUAGUAAUCGCGGAUCAGCAUGCCGCGGUGAAUACGUUCCCGGGCCUUGUACACACCGCCCGUCACACCAUGAGAGUUUGUAACACCCAAAGUCGGUGGGGUAACCUUUUAGGAGCCAGCCGCCUAAGGUGGGACAGAUGAUUAGGGUGAAGUCGUAACAAGGUAGCCGUAGGAGAACCUGCGGCUGGAUCACCUCCUUU